GUUAAAAGUAUUCUGCAAGUAAAAGAUUGUUUAUUCACCAUUUCUAUCUUUAUUCUUUAACCAUGAGAUCUGCUACCUGGUGUAUAGUUUUAUGUGUUCUCAUCUUUCUCGUAAUCAGCGAUGGUAAAAAAGAUAAAGACUAUGUUCCAGAAAAAUUUUGUCCGAGAUUAGAAGAUAUCGAAGGAAACUGCAAAGAUGAUGGACUGAAAGUGUGUGCGAAGUUUAUGACGACAACUUAUAAGAUUAAUUAUUUUAAUUGCACAUGUGACAACAUCAACAUGUUACGUAAAAUCAAGCGUUACUGCUAUUGUCAGUCACUAUGUGCAGACCAACCUCCACCUUCACCGAUCCAGCCUCAUUGAAUAACAUCUCUCAAGUCCUUACUAAUAACAAAAGAGAAGUUGUGAGAGUUUGUAGUGCGGAGAUCACACACAAAUAAGUUUGUUAGUCACCAAUCUUUCUUUUGUAAUAAUAAAGUCAUGAGGAUAUUUUAUAACUAGUAUGAGUUUCUCAAUCAA
Molecule: long non-coding RNA, 518 nt
Organism: Brassica oleracea var. oleracea
Lineage: Eukaryota; Viridiplantae; Streptophyta; Magnoliopsida; Brassicales; Brassicaceae
Exons: 2
Source: RefSeq, a predicted model, not a curated record